UACGUAGGGUGCGAGCGUUAAUCGGAAUUACUGGGCGUAAAGCGUGCGCAGGCGGUCCGCAAAGUCUGAUGUGAAAGCCCCGGGCUCAACCUGGGAACUGCAUUGGAAACUAACGGGCUCGAGUGUGGCAGAGGGGGGGUGGGAAUUCCACGUGUAGCAGUGAAAUGCGUAGAGAUGUGGAGGAACACCGAUGGCGAAGGCAGCCCCCUGGGCUAACACUGACGCUCAGGCACGAAAGCGUGGGGAGCAAACAGG
This 255-nucleotide ribosomal RNA is filed under the name uncultured bacterium. Its description in RNAcentral is "partial 16S ribosomal RNA". It matches the Rfam family "Bacterial small subunit ribosomal RNA", at positions 524 to 776 of the family's 1533-position model. The record is from RNAcentral.